This 253-nucleotide ribosomal RNA is filed under the name uncultured bacterium. RNAcentral describes it as "partial 16S ribosomal RNA". It matches the Rfam family "Bacterial small subunit ribosomal RNA", at positions 524 to 776 of the family's 1533-position model. The record is from RNAcentral.
UACGGAGGGGGCUAGCGUUGUUCGGAAUUACUGGGCGUAAAGCGCGCGUAGGCGGACCUGCAAGUCGGGGGUGAAAGCCCGAGGCUCAACCUCGGAACUGCCUUUGAUACUGGCGACCUUGAGUCCGGGAGAGGUGAGUGGAACUGCGAGUGUAGAGGUGAAAUUCGUAGAUAUUCGCAAGAACACCAGUGGCGAAGGCGGCUCACUGGCCCGGUACUGACGCUGAGGUGCGAAAGCGUGGGGAGCAAACAGG